UACGGAGGGGGCAAGCGUUACUCGGAAUUAUUGGGCGUAAAGGGCGCGUAGGCGGUCUUGCGCGUCGGAGGUGAAAUCCCCGGGCUUAACCCGGGAGCUGCCUCCGAUACGGCAGGACUUGAGUCCGGGAGAGGAGAGCAGAAUUCCCAGUGUAGCGGUGAAAUGCGUAGAUAUUGGGAGGAAUACCAGUGGCGAAGGCGGCUCUCUGGACCGGUACUGACGCUGAGGCGCGAAAGCAUGGGGAGCAAACAGG
This 253-nucleotide ribosomal RNA is filed under the name uncultured bacterium. RNAcentral's name for it is "partial 16S ribosomal RNA". It matches the Rfam family "Bacterial small subunit ribosomal RNA", at positions 524 to 776 of the family's 1533-position model. The record is from RNAcentral.